RNAcentral lists this ribosomal RNA (492 nucleotides) under uncultured bacterium. RNAcentral describes it as "partial 16S ribosomal RNA". It matches the Rfam family "Bacterial small subunit ribosomal RNA", at positions 29 to 507 of the family's 1533-position model. The record is from RNAcentral.
AGUGAACGCUGGCGGUAGGCCUAACACAUGCAAGUCGAACGGCAGCACAGUAAUAGCUUGCUCUUACGGGUGGCGAGUGGCGGACGGGUGCGGAAUACAUCGGAAUCUACUUUUUCGAGGGGGCUAACGUAGGGAAACUUACGCUAAUACCGCAUACGACCUACGGGUGGAAGCAGGGGAUCUUCGGACCUUGCGUGAUUGAAUGAGCCGAGGUCGGAUUAGCUAGUUGGCGGGGUAAAGGCCCACCAAGGCGACGAUCCGUAGCUGGUCUGAGAGGAUGAUCAGCCACACUGGAACUGAGACACGGUCCAGACUCCUACGGGAGGCAGCAGUGGGGAAUAUUGGACAAUGGGCGAAAGCCUGAUCCAGCCAUGCCGCGUGUGUGAAGAAGGCCUUCGGGUUGUAAAGCCCUUUUGUUGGGAAAGAAAAGCAGCAGGUUAAUACCUCGCUGUUCUGACGGUACCCAAAGAAUAAGCACCGGCUAACUUCGUG